UCAGAAGAGGCUACUACUAGCUAUCUAGCUUCAUGUUUAACUCUUCUUGGUUUGUGUUUUUGUGUGCUUGUUGGAGUUGUUAGGAGGAAGAGAGGGGUGAGAGGUGAGGCUGACAGAAGAGAGUGAGCACACAUGGUGACUUUCUUGCAUGCUGAAUGGACUCAUGCUUGAAGCUAUGUGUGCUCACUUCUCUCUCUGUCAGCCAUUUGAUCUCUCUUUCUCUCUUUCUCCCUCAUGUGUUAUACUGUUCUCUCAUAUCUUCUUCUUUGAGGUAGUAAUAUACUUGAGCAAAUUAAGCUGCUUAAUUAUUUGUGUAUGAUGAUCAGCUGCUGAUCCGGCCUCAUUUCUUGCAUAUAUGAGAUCAGUUUCAACCACAACCACAUACAUGCUUGUUCAUUUUUUUUCACAAAGAAAGAGAACAGUUUAAUAUAAUUUCUUGGGGUUUUUGGAUCAGUUAAUUUGUCUUGAGAGGGGAAGAGAUCUCUAUGGGUUUUGGAGGUCUGACAGAAGAGAGUGAGCACACACGGUGCUUUCUUAGCAUGCAAGAGCCAUGCUGGGAGCUGUGCGUGCUCACUCUCUAUCUGUCAGCCGUUCACCAUGCCCAAUAUGAUUAAUCUCCUUCUCUCAGUUGACAGUAAUUUCUUUGCCAGAUCUCCUGUUAAAUUUUCUGCCUAGCUAGCUAUUAUGCACAUGCUUAUUAUGAUGAGCCUGCCAAUAUCAUCUCCACGGCAAAACACAAACUAGCUAUGAUUUGAUUCAUUAUAUUUCUUUUCGCUGUUUAAUUAAUUAUAUGCAG
RNAcentral lists this precursor RNA (796 nucleotides) under Oryza sativa Japonica Group (Japanese rice). Its description in RNAcentral is "putative precursor microRNA R156bc". The stretch from base 501 to 588 matches the Rfam family "mir-156 microRNA precursor family". The record is from RNAcentral. Lineage: Eukaryota; Viridiplantae; Streptophyta; Magnoliopsida; Poales; Poaceae.